This 465-nucleotide ribosomal RNA is filed under the name uncultured Klebsiella sp. RNAcentral describes it as "bacterial SSU rRNA". It matches the Rfam family "Bacterial small subunit ribosomal RNA", at positions 338 to 795 of the family's 1533-position model. The record is from RNAcentral. Lineage: Bacteria; Pseudomonadati; Pseudomonadota; Gammaproteobacteria; Enterobacterales; Enterobacteriaceae.
CCUACGGGAGGCUGCAGUGGGGAAUAUUGUACAAUGGGCGCAAGCCUGAUGCAGCCAUGCCGCGUGUGUGAAGAAGGCCUUCGGGUUGUAAAGCACUUUCAGCGGGGAGGAAGGCGGUGAGGUUAAUAACCUCAUCGAUUGACGUUACCCGCAGAAGAAGCACCGGCUAACUCCGUGCCAGCAGCCGCGGUAAUACGGAGGGUGCAAGCGUUAAUCGGAAUUACUGGGCGUAAAGCGCACGCAGGCGGUCUGUCAAGUCGGAUGUGAAAUCCCCGGGCUCAACCUGGGAACUGCAUUCGAAACUGGCAGGCUAGAGUCUUGUAGAGGGGGGUAGAAUUCCAGGUGUAGCGGUGAAAUGCGUAGAGAUCUGGAGGAAUACCGGUGGCGAAGGCGGCCCCCUGGACAAAGACUGACGCUCAGGUGCGAAAGCGUGGGGAGCAAACAGGAUUAGAUACCCGUGUAGUC